UGGCUAAUGAUGAUAAAUUUUAUAUCUUAGCGGAUUUCAGUGAGAAUUUAUGUACGAUCUGAAUGUUACACACACAGAAGCCU
Small nucleolar RNA from Papaver somniferum (opium poppy), 83 nucleotides. RefSeq annotates it as small nucleolar RNA R11/Z151. Lineage: Eukaryota; Viridiplantae; Streptophyta; Magnoliopsida; Ranunculales; Papaveraceae. The transcript has a single exon. The record is from RefSeq and is a predicted model, not a curated record.